RNAcentral lists this ribosomal RNA (253 nucleotides) under uncultured bacterium. RNAcentral describes it as "partial 16S ribosomal RNA". It matches the Rfam family "Bacterial small subunit ribosomal RNA", at positions 524 to 776 of the family's 1533-position model. The record is from RNAcentral.
UACAGAGGGUGCAAGCGUUAUUCGGAGUUAUUGGGCGUAAAGAGCGCGUAGGUGGUUCGAUAAGUCUGGUGUGAAAUCCCUGGACUCAAUCCAGGAAGUGCAUUGGAUACUGUCGAACUAGAGUGCAGGAGAGGUGAGCGGAAUUCCAGGUGUAGAGGUGAAAUUCGUAGAUAUCUGGAGGAACAACAGUGGCGAAGGCGGCUCACUGGACUGCAACUGACACUGAGGCGCGAAAGCGUGGGGAGCAAACAGG